RNAcentral lists this non-coding RNA (171 nucleotides) under Candidatus Chloroploca asiatica. RNAcentral describes it as "6S / SsrS RNA". It matches the Rfam family "6S / SsrS RNA". Rfam says of the family: E. coli 6S RNA was the first non coding RNA to be sequenced, but its function was unknown until recently. It consists of 184 nucleotides that fold into an extended hairpin structure with a large single-stranded internal bulge. The record is from Rfam by way of RNAcentral. Lineage: Bacteria; Bacillati; Chloroflexota; Chloroflexia; Chloroflexales; Oscillochloridaceae.
GGUAUCCUCGGCUGCCCGUGGGUGGGUAUGUGUUUUGAGCCAACACUGUUUCGAUGGGAGCUUUGCUCUAACGAGUUGAGUUAUGCGGCGGGCCGCAGAUACUCACAGGCGGGCACCCACCUGCGCUUGCAGGUUCGAAACUGACCCAUUCACGGCAUGCCGAGGUAAUUU